UACGGAGGGUGCAAGCGUUGUCCGGAUUUAUUGGGCGUAAAGAGCGUGUAGGCGGCCAGAUAGGUCAGCUGUGAAAACUCGAGGCUCAACUUCGAGCUGUCGGUGGAAACUUUCUGGCUAGAGUCCGGAAGAGGAGAAUGGAAUUCCUGGUGUAGCGGUGAAAUGCGCAGAUAUCAGGAAGAACACCAAUGGCGAAGGCAGCUCUCUGGGACGGUACUGACGCUGAGACGCGAAAGCGUGGGGAGCGAACAGG
This 253-nucleotide ribosomal RNA is filed under the name uncultured bacterium. Its description in RNAcentral is "partial 16S ribosomal RNA". It matches the Rfam family "Bacterial small subunit ribosomal RNA", at positions 524 to 776 of the family's 1533-position model. The record is from RNAcentral.